AUUAUCGCCGACCGCAACAAAUUAGGGUAGCAGUUAGGAGAAGCACGGCUAAGGAGAAUCAAACACCAGCGAACGGCAAUUAGGAGAAGCACAUCCGACCGCCACUAAGGAGAAUCCAGCGCAUGUGCUCCGCGAUCAGACGAGCAAGAAAGCCAUUUUCUUGCUGGUGUUAUGCCCUUUUCAUGCUCUGCUAUGGAGUCUAGCCAUUCUGAAAUCCCUGAAUCCAGUCGUGAUGAGAGGAAUAGAAAACAUAGGGAGCGGUAUGCUUGUAAUGAGACUCGAUGGGCAGAGAGAAACUUGACACGUCGAAAUGCAAUACCACUACCAUCAGUAAACAAGAUGGAGAAGAUGAAGACAAUUCCGAGCUUAAAAAAACACGCACUAAGAAAAAUUAAUUUACUAUGCCGAAAUUACUCUUUUCAUGAUAGAUAGUUAGCUUUAGUUAGUGGUUUCUUUGUUUUUACUUUGGUUAUAAUUUAGCUAUUUCGAAUUUCUUUAUCUUUUUAUUCAAAUAUAAGCACAAAGACUAUUUCUUUA
This is a long non-coding RNA of Ipomoea nil (Japanese morning glory), 537 nucleotides long. RefSeq lists it as uncharacterized. NCBI's taxonomy places the organism in Eukaryota, Viridiplantae, Streptophyta, Magnoliopsida, Solanales, Convolvulaceae. The record is from RefSeq and is a predicted model, not a curated record. The transcript has 2 exons.